CGAGCAGGCCGGGCGGUCGCGGCGGGCUUCGGCCCGGCGAGGAAAGUCCGGACUCCACAGGGCAGGGUGCUUGGUAACGCCAAGGCGGGGCAACCCGACGGAAAGUGGAACAGAAACGACACCGCCGAUGGUCCGCCGAAGCCUCCGGCGGAGACGGGCACAGGCAAGGGUGAAAUGGUGCGGUAAGAGCGCACCGGCGCCGUGGCGACACGGCGGCCGUCUAAACCCCACCCGGAGCAAGUCCAAAUAGGGGAGCAAUGGCGUGGCCCGCGCCGCUCCCGGGUAGGAUGCUGGAGCCGCGCGGCGACGCGCGGCCUAGAGGAAUGGCCGCCUCAGGGUUUCGGCCCCCAGACAGAAUCCGGCUUACAGGCCUGCUCGCGUU
Molecule: RNase P RNA, 382 nt
Filed under: Candidatus Hydrogenedentota bacterium
Lineage: Bacteria; Pseudomonadati; Candidatus Hydrogenedentota
Description: RNase P RNA component class A
Rfam family: Bacterial RNase P class A
About the family: Ribonuclease P (RNase P) is a ubiquitous endoribonuclease, found in archaea, bacteria and eukarya as well as chloroplasts and mitochondria.
Source: RNAcentral